ACCCAAUAGAUACCCGGGUAGUCCACGCCCUAAACGAUCACAACUGGCUAUAAGGAGUAUCGACCCUCUUUGUGGCGAAAGCUAAACGCGUUAAGUUGUGCGCCUGGGUAGUACGAUCGCAAGAUUAAAACUCAAAGGAAUAGACGGGGACUUGCACAAGCGGUGGAUCAUGCGGCUCAAUUCGAUGAUAAACGAAAACCUCACCAGGGUUUGAAACCCAGACGAAAUCCUUAGGAAACUUUGGACCUCGCAAGACGGCUGGGCAGGUGAUGCAUGGUCGUCGUCAGUUCGUGGCUUGAGUUGUUCCCUUCAGUGGGGUAACGAACGCAACCCGCGUUGCCUGUUUUAUAUGUCAGGCGAGACUGCCCCCGUCACGGGGGUAGGAAGGUGCGGAUGACGCCAGAUCAGCAUGUCCCUCUGAUAUCCUGGGCUGCACGCAUGAUACAAUGGUCACAACAACGGGUCGCGACGGGGUAACCCUGAGCUAAUCCUUAUAAACUGUGGCCCCAGUUCGGAUUGAGGUCUGCAACUCGACCUCAUGAA
RNAcentral lists this ribosomal RNA (543 nucleotides) under uncultured bacterium. RNAcentral's name for it is "bacterial SSU rRNA". It matches the Rfam family "Bacterial small subunit ribosomal RNA", at positions 772 to 1324 of the family's 1533-position model. The record is from RNAcentral.